This 669-nucleotide ribosomal RNA is filed under the name alpha proteobacterium IMCC14498. RNAcentral's name for it is "bacterial SSU rRNA". It matches the Rfam family "Bacterial small subunit ribosomal RNA", at positions 29 to 743 of the family's 1533-position model. The record is from RNAcentral. Lineage: Bacteria; Pseudomonadati; Pseudomonadota; Alphaproteobacteria.
ACGUACGCUGGCGGCACGCCUAACACAUGCAAGUCGAACGAAGUAGCAAUACUUAGUGGCAGACGGGUGAGUAACAUGUGGGUAUCUGCCCUUUGGCCUGGAAUAACACGAGGAAACUUGUGCUAAUACCGGAUAAGUCUUUACGGAGAAAGCUUUAUGCACCAUUGGAUGAGCCCGCACUUGAUUAGUUAGUUGGUAGGGUAAUGGCCUACCAAGACUGUGAUCAAUAGCUGAUUUGAGAGGAUGAUCAGCCACAUUGGGACUGAGACACGGCCCAAACUCCUACGGGAGGCAGCAGUGGGGAAUCUUGCACAAUGGAGGAAACUCUGAUGCAGCGAUGCCGCGUGAGUGAAGAAGGCCCUUGGGUUGUAAAGCUCUUUCGUCGGGGAAGAAAAUGACUGUACCCGAAUAAGAAGGUCCGGCUAACUUCGUGCCAGCAGCCGCGGUAAUACGAAGGGACCUAGCGUAGUUCGGAAUUACUGGGCUUAAAGAGUUCGUAGGUGGUUGAAAAAGUUAGUGGUGAAAUCCCAGAGCUUAACUCUGGAACUGCCAUUAAAACUUUUCAGCUAGAGUAUGAUAGAGGAAAGCAGAAUUUCUAGUGUAGAGGUGAAAUUCGUAGAUAUUAGAAAGAACACCAAUUGCGAAGGCAGCUUUCUGGAUCAUUACUGA